CAGCCGCCGCGGGAAUACGUAGGUGGCAAGCGUUGUCCGGAAUUAUUGGGCGUAAAGGGCUCGCAGGCGGUUUCUUAAGUCUGAUGUGAGAGCCCCCGGCUCAACCGGGGAGGGUCAUUGGAAACUGGGAAACUUGAGUGCAGAAGAGGAGAGUGGAAUUCCACGUGUAGCGGUGAAAUGCGUAGAGAUGUGGAGGAACACCAGUGGCGAAGGCGACUCUCUGGUCUGUAACUGACGCUGAGGAGCGAAAGCGUGGGGAGCGGACAGGAUUAGAGACCCCUGUAGUCCCUGUCUCUUAUAC
RNAcentral lists this ribosomal RNA (301 nucleotides) under uncultured bacterium. RNAcentral's name for it is "partial 16S ribosomal RNA". It matches the Rfam family "Bacterial small subunit ribosomal RNA", at positions 509 to 807 of the family's 1533-position model. The record is from RNAcentral.